UCGAUUUCACGGUAUUACUUUUAUCCGCCAAUCGAAACUAUUUCAUCGCGAAAUUUUUGUAGCGCGUAUUUUAAUUUUUUCAGCGGUAUUCCGCUGCGAGGCAUUCCUUCUAUUGCGGCAACGAAUAUUUUAUUGUUUAUUCGUUUGCUUUUCAUUGGUAGGAACGACGGGGAGAAGUGCAGGCAGAUGCGACCCCUAUCCCUACGGAAUUCUAGAAGUGGUCAAUGUAUGCCCUGCGAAUAUAUACGCAGCGUACCCAUGAACCAGCAUGUAUUUGUGAAACUGGACGCGAGUGUUUACUCCGUUUGAUGCAAUCCAUGCGUUUAGAAACGGUUUACACAGGAAAAAAUUAAUACAACCAGGAUCGAUCACUCGGGGCUAUACUCCUCGGUUACAUGGCUUGUGGAAUGUCCAACUCGAAAAAUUGUUCGAUUUCACGGAACAAAUCAGUUGAACCGACAAUUUCAUUUGGCACUCUGCUGGUAAAUAGACAGCAUUUUCAAUGGAGCACUCUACAUAAUCGACAGGCUACUCUACAUUAUCAACAAAAUAAUCUACAGUCCCAAUGGUGUUCUCUACAUUACCAACAAGAGACUCUACAUUAUCAA
Long non-coding RNA from Hylaeus volcanicus, 608 nucleotides. RefSeq lists it as uncharacterized. The transcript has 3 exons. The record is from RefSeq and is a predicted model, not a curated record. Lineage: Eukaryota; Metazoa; Arthropoda; Insecta; Hymenoptera; Colletidae.